This 254-nucleotide ribosomal RNA is filed under the name uncultured bacterium. RNAcentral's name for it is "partial 16S ribosomal RNA". It matches the Rfam family "Bacterial small subunit ribosomal RNA", at positions 524 to 776 of the family's 1533-position model. The record is from RNAcentral.
UACGAAGGGGGCUAGCGUUGCUCGGAAUCACUGGGCGUAAAGGGUGCGUAGGCGGGUCUUUUAAGUCAGGGGUGAAAUCCUGGAGCUCAACUCCAGAACUGCCUUUGAUACUGAAGAUCUUGAGUUCGGGAGAGGUGAGUGGAACUGCGAGUGUAGAGGUGGAAUUCGUAGAUAUUAGGAAGAACACCAGUGGCGAAGGCGGCUUACUGGUCCGGAACUGACGCUGAGGUGCGAAAGCGUGGGGAGCAAACAGG